GAUGAACGCUGGCGGCGUGCCUAAUACAUGCAAGUCGAGCGAACGGACGAGAAGCUUGCUUCUCUGAUGUUAGCGGCGGACGGGUGAGUAACACGUGGAUAACCUACCUAUAAGACUGGGAUAACUUCGGGAAACCGGAGCUAAUACCGGAUAAUAUUUUGAACCGCAUGGUUCAAAAGUGAAAGACGGUCUUGCUGUCACUUAUAGAUGGAUCCGCGCUGCAUUAGCUAGUUGGUAAGGUAACGGCUUACCAAGGCAACGAUGCAUAGCCGACCUGAGAGGGUGAUCGGCCACACUGGAACUGAGACACGGUCCAGACUCCUACGGGAGGCAGCAGUAGGGAAUCUUCCGCAAUGGGCGAAAGCCUGACGGAGCAACGCCGCGUGAGUGAUGAAGGUCUUCGGAUCGUAAAACUCUGUUAUUAGGGAAGAACAUAUGUGUAAGUAACUGUGCACAUCUUGACGGUACCUAAUCAGAAAGCCACGGCUAACUACGUGCCAGCAGCCGCGGGUAUACGUAGGUGGGCAGCGUUAUCCCGAAAUUAUUGGGCGUAAAGCGCGCGUAGGCGGUUUUUUAAGUCUGAUGUGAAAGCCCACGGCUCAACCGUGGAGGGUCAUUGGAAACUGGAAAACUUGAGUGCAGAAGAGGAAAGUGGAAUUCCAUGUGUAGCGGUGAAAUGCGCAGAGAUAUGGAGGAACACCAGUGGCGAAGGCGACUUUCUGGUCUGUAACUGACGCUGAUGUGCGAAAGCGUGGGGAUCAAACAGGAUUAGAUACCCUGGUAGUCCACGCCGUAAACGAUGAGUGCUAAGUGUUAGGGGGUUUCCGCCCCUUAGUGCUGCAGCUAACGCAUUAAGCACUCCGCCUGGGGAGUACGACCGCAAGGUUGAAACUCAAAGGAAUUGACGGGGACCCGCACAAGCGGUGGAGCAUGUGGUUUAAUUCGAAGCAACGCGAAGAACCUUACCAAAUCUUGACAUCCUUUGACAACUCUAGAGAUAGAGCCUUCCCCUUCGGGGGACAAAGUGACAGGUGGUGCAUGGUUGUCGUCAGCUCGUGUCGUGAGAUGUUGGGUUAAGUCCCGCAACGAGCGCAACCCUUAAGCUUAGUUGCCAUCAUUAAGUUGGGCACUCUAAGUUGACUGCCGGUGACAAACCGGAGGAAGGUGGGGAUGACGUCAAAUCAUCAUGCCCCUUAUGAUUUGGGCUACACACGUGCUACAAUGGACAAUACAAAGGGCAGCGAAACCGCGAGGUCAAGCAAAUCCCAUAAAGUUGUUCUCAGUUCGGAUUGUAGUCUGCAACUCGACUACAUGAAGCUGGAAUCGCUAGUAAUCGUAGAUCAGCAUGCUACGGUGAAUACGUUCCCGGGUCU
This 1373-nucleotide ribosomal RNA is filed under the name uncultured bacterium. RNAcentral describes it as "bacterial SSU rRNA". It matches the Rfam family "Bacterial small subunit ribosomal RNA", at positions 28 to 1381 of the family's 1533-position model. The record is from RNAcentral.